UCCUCUGUGGCGCAAUUGGCUAGCGCGUCUGACUGUUAAUCCUCCUCUCAGAGAGGAAAAGCAAAUCAGGAGGUUGGAAGUUCGAGCCUUCCCGGAGGAG
Rhypophila decipiens is the source of this 100-nucleotide non-coding RNA. Lineage: Eukaryota; Fungi; Ascomycota; Sordariomycetes; Sordariales; Naviculisporaceae. The record is from the annotation of a GenBank genome assembly.